RNAcentral lists this small RNA (537 nucleotides) under Pongo abelii (Sumatran orangutan). Its description in RNAcentral is "retained intron". Lineage: Eukaryota; Metazoa; Chordata; Mammalia; Primates; Hominidae. The record is from RNAcentral.
GGUUGGCGGAAUCAUGGCUCGUGCUGGGCUAGUUUUUCCCUUAAUUCUUGCUUCUCAGAUGUAUGUCCCUGGGAAGCUGCAUGAUGUGGAACACGUGCUCAUCGAUGUGGGAACUGGGUACUAUGUAGAGAAGGUGAGUGAGAGCAUGUGGAUGCCCCUCUGAACAGGGAAGGGAAAUUUAGGGGAAGCUCUAGAGUGCAGCAUGGCCAGAGGGAGUCUCCUUUUAGCCCCUCAUUCACCUCUGAUCUUGUAGACAGCUGAGGAUGCCAAGGACUUCUUCAAGAGGAAGAUAGAUUUUCUAACCAAGCAGAUGGAGAAAAUCCAACCAGCUCUUCAGGAGAAGCAUGCCAUGAAACAGGCCGUCAUGGAAAUGAUGAGUCAGAAGAUUCAGCAGCUCACAGCCCUGGGGGCAGCUCAGGCUACUGCUAAGGCCUGAGAGUUUUUGCAGAAAUGGGGCAGAGGGACACCCUUUGGGCGUGGCUUCCUGGUGCUGGGAAGGGUCUUGUGUUUUAAUGCCAAUAAAUGUGCCAGCUGGGC